GAUGAACGCUGGCGGCGUGCCUAAUACAUGCCAGUCGAGCGAACAGACGAGGAGCUUGCUCCUCUGACGUUAGCGGCGGACGGGUGAGUAACACGUGGAUAACCUACCUAUAAGACUGGGAUAACUUCGGGAAACCGGAGCUAAUACCGGAUAACAUGUUGAACCGCAUGGUUCAACAGUGAAAGACGGUUUUGCUGUCACUUAUAGAUGGAUCCGCGUCGCAUUAGCUAGUUGGUAAGGUAACGGCUUACCAAGGCAACGAUGCGUAGCCGACCUGAGAGGGUGAUCGGCCACACUGGAACUGAGACACGGUCCAGACUCCUACGGGAGGCAGCAGUAGGGAAUCUUCCGCAAUGGGCGAAAGCCUGACGGAGCAACGCCGCGUGAGUGAAGAAGGUCUUCGGAUCGCAAAACUCUGUUAUUAGGGAAGAACAAAUGUGUAAGUAACUAUGCACGUCUUGACGGUACCUAAUCAGAAAGCCACGGCUAACUACGUG
Molecule: ribosomal RNA, 497 nt
Filed under: uncultured bacterium
Lineage: Bacteria
Description: partial 16S ribosomal RNA
Rfam family: Bacterial small subunit ribosomal RNA
Source: RNAcentral